RNAcentral lists this ribosomal RNA (253 nucleotides) under uncultured bacterium. RNAcentral describes it as "partial 16S ribosomal RNA". It matches the Rfam family "Bacterial small subunit ribosomal RNA", at positions 524 to 776 of the family's 1533-position model. The record is from RNAcentral.
UACGUAGGUGGCAAGCGUUAUCCGGAUUUAUUGGGCGUAAAGGGAACGCAGGCGGUCUUUUAAGUCUGAUGUGAAAGCCUUCGGCUUAACCGGGGUAGUGCAUUGGAAACUGGGAGACUUGAGUGCAGAAGAGGAGAGUGGAACUCCAUGUGUAGCGGUGAAAUGCGUAGAUAUAUGGAAGAACACCAGUGGCGAAAGCGGCUCUCUGGUCUGUAACUGACGCUGAGGUUCGAAAGCGUGGGUAGCAAACAGG